UGCCAGCAGCCGCGGUAAUACGGAGGGGGCAAGCGUUGUUCGGAAUUACUGGGCGUAAAGGGCGCGUAGGCGGCCUGCCAAGUCGGGUGUGAAAGCCCUCGGCUCAACCGAGGAAUUGCACCCGAUACUGGCAGGCUCGAGUCCGGGCGGGGGUGGCGGAAUUCCCAGUGUAGCGGUGAAAUGCGUAGAUAUUGGGAGGAACACCCGUGGCGAAGGCGGCCACCUGGACCGGAACUGACGCUGAGGCGCGAAAGCCAGGGGAGCGAAUGGGAUUAGAUA
Molecule: ribosomal RNA, 279 nt
Filed under: uncultured bacterium
Lineage: Bacteria
Description: partial 16S ribosomal RNA
Rfam family: Bacterial small subunit ribosomal RNA
Source: RNAcentral